This 863-nucleotide ribosomal RNA is filed under the name uncultured marine group I thaumarchaeote. RNAcentral describes it as "SSU rRNA". It matches the Rfam family "Archaeal small subunit ribosomal RNA", at positions 36 to 904 of the family's 1478-position model. Lineage: Archaea; Thermoproteati; Nitrososphaerota. The record is from RNAcentral.
GAUUGAUACUAAGCCAUGCGAGUCUUUGUAGUAAUACAAGGCAGACGGCUCAGUAACACGUAGUCAACCUACCCUAUGGACAAGAAUAAUCUCGGGAAACUGGGCAUAAUUCUUGAUAGAUCAUAAUGCCUGGAAUGGUUUAUGGUUAAAAUGAUUCGUCGCCAUAGGAUGGGACUGCGGCCUAUCAGCUUGUUGGUGAGGUAAUGGCCCACCAAGGCGAUUACAGGUACGGGCUCUGAGAGGAGAAGCCCGGAGAUGGGUACUGAGACACGGACCCAGGCCCUAUGGGGCGCAGCAGGCGAGAAAACUUUGCAAUGUGCGAAAGCACGACAAGGUUAAUCCGAGUGAUUUCUGCUAAAGAAAUCUUUUGCCAGUCAUAAAACCACUGGUGAAUAAGGGGUGGGCAAGUUCUGGUGUCAGCCGCCGCGGUAAAACCAGCACCUCAAGUGGUCAGGAUGAUUAUUGGGCCUAAAGCAUCCGUAGCCGGCUUUGUUAGUUUUCGGUUAAAUCCAUGUGCUCAACGCAUGGGCUGCCGAAAAUACUGCAUAGCUAGGGAGUGGGAGAGGUAGACGGUACUCAGUAGGAAGGGGUAAAAUCCUUUGAUCUAUUGAUGACCACCUGUGGCGAAGGCGGUCUACCAGAACACGUUCGACGGUGAGGGAUGAAAGCUGGGGGAGCAAACCGGAUUAGAUACCCGGGUAGUCCCAGCUGUAAACGAUGCAGACUCGAUGAUGCAUUGGCAUAAUAGCCAAUGCAGUGUCGCAGGGAAGCCGUUAAGUCUGCCGCCUGGGAAGUACGUACGCAAGUAUGAAACUUAAAGGAAUUGGCGGGGGAGCACCACAAGGGGUGAAGCCUGCGGUUCA